GACGAACGCUGGCGGCGUGCUUAACACAUGCAAGUCGAACGAAGUGGCGAACGGGUGAGUAACGCGUAAUCAACCUGCCCUUCAGAGGGGGACAACAGUUGGAAACGACUGCUAAUACCACAUACUGAAGGAGGGGAUUGCGUCUGAUUAGCUAGUUGGAGGGGUAACGGCCCACCAAGGCGAUGAUCAGUAGCCGGUCUGGGAGGAGGAACGGCCAAAUUGGGACUGGGGACAGGCCCAAGCCCCUACGGGAGGCAGCAGUGGGGAAUUUUCCGCAAUGGACGAAAGUCUGACGGAGCAACGCCGCGUGAGUGAUGACGGCCUUCGGGUUGUAAAGCUCUGUUAAUCGGGACGCGGUACCGGAAUAGAAAGCCACGGCUAACUACGUGCCAGCAGCCGCGGUAAUAC
This 408-nucleotide ribosomal RNA is filed under the name uncultured bacterium. RNAcentral's name for it is "partial 16S ribosomal RNA". It matches the Rfam family "Bacterial small subunit ribosomal RNA", at positions 28 to 526 of the family's 1533-position model. The record is from RNAcentral.